AAUCCCCGGAUGAACACAUGGCUUUGUUUGUUAUGGAACAUUAAACAGAAUACUGAAUGGGUAGGCGUUACGCCAUUGGCUGAAAUCAGGUAUUUAAUUGUUUUCAUUUUAAAGUAAAAUUAAUGACCUUUGAAAUAAAUGAUGGGAUGAGGGAAUAUUACAGAAACUAUAGAAAUACCAGGGAAGAUUUUAGGAGUGGGGGUUGAUUUUUUAUGUCGCGUGUUAUUUACUGCGAAUCUCUAUAAGUUGAAAAUAACUGCAAUUUUGACCUAUAAACGCAAUGGGACCAUAUAUUUUUUUCAGUAUUUUUUGUUAGGGCUUAGAACAAAGUUUGAAAUGAUGCUAAAGAUUUUUCUGAAAUUGUCAUAGUAAAGUACUGAGAGGGCCUAAGGUUUGUAUGGAGUUCUAUGGGAAAAUAAUUAGUGGUCUUUUCCCUAUAGAGACCCCAAUUUUUACACUGUAAAGUGAUUUGAAAGUCAUGAAAUGUUAUUUUUAGCUAAUUAUUUGAAGAUUGAUGACAUUUCGAGAGAAAAUUUAGCAAAAAUUUGAAUUAGUUUACUGCGGUAAUGGGGUUAGUGGUGAUUUGGGUCUAUUGAAGAGAGAGGGGGGGGGGGGGGAGAAGAUAGAAAUUAGUAAAGCCCUGUACAGUUGACAUGGUCAAAGGAGGAAGGUAAGUUAAGAAAAUGUAUUAGAUUGUCCUUAAGAUGAAUGAUUGUAUGUAUGAAUAGAUUUAUGUAUGUAUUUUGCAUGUACAUGUGACUGUGUAUUUAUCAUGUUUUGCUCUAUCUGUGUAUAUUAUGGAAGUGUAGGACAGUGACCUGGUGUUCAUUUUUUCUUAUUUUCUUGGACUUUUGCACUUUUGGCAUUUUUUCAAAUAAUUAAGGUGGCACAUAAAAGGAAUUUUUGUGAUGGACAAGUGAAAGGAGGACAUUUUCUGUCUUGUCAUCUCAUGUUUGGUAGUGUAUGUGUUCCUCUGGAUUGCCCCCCCCCCCUUUCUUGGCUGCAGGGUGAUCAAUUUGUAGUUUUGUUGUUUCUAUGUUGUAGCUACACAAAGGUCUAUGUUUUCUCUUUUUUCGCUCUUUGUAGUUUCAUCAGAAUUACUCGCUGCGACUCACUUUCUAAUGGUUUCUAGUUUUUGUACUUAGAGUUACUUCCCUUAGACCUGCUGACCAGACAGGUAGAAUUUCAACAUGAUGAUAUCUUAACUGUUGUGACCUUUGGCUUCUGAUUUUUUUUCAUAAAUUAUUGUAAUGACCUUGAACUGCAUGUAUGACAUUUGACCUUUAUUAUAUUUACAUGUAAUAAUAUGUAAUAUUGAAAAACAUGUAUUCCACCCUUGGCGGAUCCAUUUUUCAUACAUUUAGCUAUGUAGAAGACAUGUAAUUAAGGAAAUUUUUAGAAAACUUGAAAAAUAUUGUUGUUUCUUUCAUGAUUUAUGCUUAAUUUGACUAAUUUUAUUGAUUUAUUUUCAUUUAAGCACUUUAGAGGAAUUUCAUCUUUCAGCUUUCUUGGCCCCGGGAGUGCUCGGUCUCUGAUCAGCAGGGGCAUUUUCUCUAUAUAAGAAGAAAAUGGAGACUCCCUACCCACCCGAUGUAUUUUGUCGGACAGUUUUCUGUACAUUGCAGUCACCAAUAUAUCCAAAUAUCAUCACCGGCCCAGACGUCAUUCACUCCUUUGAACUGUGCUGGUAGCAGUAAGGUGUCAUCAUUUGAGAUGGUCACAGUAUCCAAUACACUGAAGUCACAGGACUCAAAUUUCAUACAUGUUCACAGCACUUUAGAGGAAUUUCAUCUUUCAGCUUUCUUGGCCCCGGGAGUGCUCGGUCUCUGAUCAGCAGGGGCAUUUUCUCUAUAUAAGAAGAAAAUGGAGACUCCCUACCCACCCGAUGUAUUUUGUCGGACAGUUUUCUGUACAUUGCAGUCACCAAUAUAUCCAAAUAUCAUCACCGGCCCAGACGUCAUUCACUCCUUUGAACUGUGCUGGUAGCAGUAAGGUGUCAUCAUUUGAGAUGGUCACAGUAUCCAAUACACUGAAGUCACAGGACUCAAAUUUCAUACAUGUUCACAGCACUUUAGAGGAAUUUCAUCUUUCAGCUUUCUUGGCCCCGGGAGUGCUCGGUCUCUGAUCAGCAGGGGCAUUUUCUCUAUAUAAGAAGAAAAUGGAGACUCCCUACCCACCCGAUGUAUUUUGUCGGACAGUUUUCUGUACAUUGCAGUCACCAAUAUAUCCAAAUAUCAUCACCGGCCCAGACGUCAUUCACUCCUUUGAACUGUGCUGGUAGCAGUAAGGUGUCAUCAUUUGAGAUGGUCACAGUAUCCAAUACACUGAAGUCACAGGACUCAAAUUUCAUACAUGUUCACAGCACUUUAGAGGAAUUUCAUCUUUCAGCUUUCUUGGCCCCGGGAGUGCUCGGUCUCUGAUCAGCAGGGGCAUUUUCUCUAUAUAAGAAGAAAAUGAAGACUCCCUACCCACCCGAUGUAUUUUGUCGGACAGUUUUCUGUACAUUGCAGUCACCAAUAUAUCCAAAUAUCAUCACCGGCCCAGACGUCAUUCACUCCUUUGAACUGUGCUGGUAGCAGUAAGGUGUCAUCAUUUGAGAUGGUCACAGUAUCCAAUACACUGAAGUCACAGGACUCAAAUUUCAUACAUGUUCACAGCACUUUAGAGGAAUUUCAUCUUUCAGCUUUCUUGGCCCCGGGAGUGCUCGGUCUCUGAUCAGCAGGGGCAUUUUCUCUAUAUAAGAAGAAAAUGGAGACUCCCUACCCACCCGAUGUAUUUUGUCGGACAGUUUUCUGUACAUUGCAGUCACCAAGAUAUCCAAAUAUCAUCACCGGCCCAGACGUCAUUCACUCCUUUGAACUGUGCUGGUAGCAGUAAGGUGUCAUCAUUUGAGAUGGUCACAGUAUCCAAUACACUGAAGUCACAGGACUCAAAUUUCAUACAUGUUCACAGCACUUUAGAGGAAUUUCAUCUUUCAGCUUUCUUGGCCCCGGGAGUGCUCGGUCUCUGAUCAGCAGGGGCAUUUUCUCUAUAUAAGAAGAAAAUGGAGACUCCCUACCCACCCGAUGUAUUUUGUCGGACAGUUUUCUGUACAUUGCAGGUAAAUUUUUUAUUUAUUAACUUUCCAGCCUCUUAUUGUAUAGUACAUUUUGGGGGUUGAAGU
Molecule: long non-coding RNA, 3163 nt
Organism: Saccostrea cuccullata (small rock oyster)
Lineage: Eukaryota; Metazoa; Mollusca; Bivalvia; Ostreida; Ostreidae
Exons: 11
Source: RefSeq, a predicted model, not a curated record